UACGUAGGGUGCAAGCGUUGUCCGGAAUUAUUGGGCGUAAAGAGCUCGUAGGCGGUUUGUUGCGUCGGCUGUGAAAUCCCGAGGCUCAACCUCGGGUCUGCAGUCGAUACGAGCAAACUAGAGUGUUGCAGGGGAGACUGGAAUUCCUGGUGUAGCGGUGAAAUGCGCAGAUAUCAGAAGGAACACCGGUGGCGAAGGCGGGUCUCUGGGCAGCAACUGACGCUGAGGAGCGAAAGCGUGGGGAGCGAACAGG
Molecule: ribosomal RNA, 253 nt
Filed under: uncultured bacterium
Lineage: Bacteria
Description: partial 16S ribosomal RNA
Rfam family: Bacterial small subunit ribosomal RNA
Source: RNAcentral